AAAUAGAAAACUGGUUCAAACCGGUCGCGUUCCUCUGUUUCAGUUUGGGUUUAAGCUACAAAACACUCGUUUGCAUUAAACAUUCGCCAUUUUACAACAGCAGCGAUCGUAUUCCCGUUGUCGUGAGCCAGGAAAUACACCCCCUUUUUUGCGCGGUAUAUUUUUUUGUCAACCUUUCGGUCCAUUUUUUGCCAGAAACAUGGUCAAAUCCAAGCCAGCUGUGGCCCUAGAGCAAAGAAGACAUUCACCACGCCUGGCGUUGCUAAAACCCAACCCUGCACCAGCGGAGACAAAGAAAAAAGCUCCAGCAAAGAAGGGACCCAAAGCGAGGAAGGUCAAACCAGCCGAGAAUGGAAAGAAGGCUGAGGAGCCAAAGGCUGAAGCCGCUGAAUCCAAAUGAACGUCAGCUCACGUUGUCACUCUGUCUACUUGGUGAUUGUACAGUUUUAAAUAAGUAUUUUUUACCAAGUUUUAUAUUACAAAUGUCAUUUAUAGGUUUGUUUUGGGCUUGCACUUGAUGUAAACAAGACUUUGUGUCAUAUCCAUUAAAAAAAAAUGAAUAAAAAGAAUAAAAAAUAAUGAUAACCGUCCAUGUGUAGUAGACGUGGCAGUUUAGUUGGUCUAAUCCUGUUUUUUAUUUUAUUUUUUAAACUGCUGAGUAAUAGUCGUUUUGUUUUUUUCCAACAAGUCAAAAAAAACAACAUAAAUCUGAAGUACAACUGAAGGCAGCUACUGAAAUAUUGUUGAAAUUUGAAGGAGAAAAGAAGUGAAAAUGUUUUUGGUUUUUUUAUCUCCUUUGUAUUUUAAUGUUAAACUCAGUAUAAAAAAAACAGUUACUUACCAAACAUUUUUAAACACUGUAUGUCGACAUUAGAUGUAGAGAAAAAUGCCACAGAGAAAAAAAUAAUAAUGAUAAUAAUACUGUUAAUGGUUUUAAAAAAAGUUUGAUAAAAAAUCCAAAUAAACUCUGAUGUGAAUCUGAUGGUUCUGUUAAGUUAUGAAGAAAAACUGUCCUGACUUCAUGGUGGAUCUUAAUGUUCUGGAAUAAAGAUUUUCAAAAUGUCA
Molecule: long non-coding RNA, 1065 nt
Organism: Solea senegalensis (Senegalese sole)
Lineage: Eukaryota; Metazoa; Chordata; Actinopteri; Pleuronectiformes; Soleidae
Exons: 6
Source: RefSeq, a predicted model, not a curated record